CCUACGGGUGGCUGCAGUGGGGAAUAUUGGACAAUGGGCGCAAGCCUGAUCCAGCCACGCCGCGUGAGUGAUGAAGGCCUUCGGGUUGUAAAGCUCUGUGGGGAGGGGCGAAAACGGCCGGUAAGAAACGACCGGUCCUUGACGGUACCUCCUUAGCAAGCACCGGCUAACUCUGUGCCAGCAGCCGCGGUAAUACAGAGGGUGCGAACGUGGCUCGGAAUUACUGGGCGUAAAGCGGUAAUUCGGGGAUGAAAUCCCCGAGCUCAACUCGGGAACUGCAUUUGAAACUGCUCGUCUUGAGUACCGGAGAGGGUGGCGGAAUUCCUGGUGUAGAGGUGAAAUUCGUAGAUAUCAGGAGGAACACCGGUGGCGAAGGCGGCCACCUGGACGGUUACUGACGCUGAGACGCGAAAGCGUGGGGAGCAAACAGGAUUAGAUACCCUAGUAGUC
This 450-nucleotide ribosomal RNA is filed under the name uncultured bacterium. RNAcentral describes it as "partial 16S ribosomal RNA". It matches the Rfam family "Bacterial small subunit ribosomal RNA", at positions 338 to 795 of the family's 1533-position model. The record is from RNAcentral.